UGGGGAAUAUUGUACAAUGGGGGAAACCCUGAUGCAGCGACGCCGCGUGAGCGAAGAAGGUUUUCGAAUCGUAAAGCUCUGUCCUAUGGGAAGAUAAUGACGGUACCAUAGGAGGAAGCCCCGGCUAACUACGUGCCAGCAGCCGCGGUAAUACGUAGGGGGCAAGCGUUGUCCGGAAUCACUGGGCGUAAAGGGUUCGCAGGCGGAAAUGCAAGUCAGUUGUGAAAGGCAGAGGCUCAACCUCUGUAAGCAAUUGAAACUGUAUUUCUUGAGAUGUGGAGAGGCAAGUGGAAUUCCUAGUGUAGCGGUGAAAUGCGUAGAUAUUAGGAAGAAUACCGGUGGCGAAGGCGACUUGCUGGACACAAACUGACGCUGAGGAACGAAAGCGUGGGUAGCAAACAGG
Molecule: ribosomal RNA, 403 nt
Filed under: Fusobacteriota bacterium
Lineage: Bacteria; Fusobacteriati; Fusobacteriota
Description: Fusobacteria bacterium partial 16S ribosomal RNA
Rfam family: Bacterial small subunit ribosomal RNA
Source: RNAcentral